This is a small nuclear RNA of Dermacentor albipictus, 191 nucleotides long. RefSeq annotates it as U2 spliceosomal RNA. The record is from RefSeq and is a predicted model, not a curated record. Lineage: Eukaryota; Metazoa; Arthropoda; Arachnida; Ixodida; Ixodidae.
AUGGCCAGAGCGAGUCAAUGUGUAGGAUGUUUUCUUAUGACCUUAAUCAUAGCCACCUAGGCCUAAUAUCUGAUGCUCAUUUUGAUAGAUUUUAAAGUAUUUUUGCAAGUUGGCGGAUCACUUAAAGCCUCCUUCACCUCCGCCGCGGGUCGACCCGGCAUUGCACUAUCUUCGGGAUCGGCCCACGUGUG